Long non-coding RNA from Falco peregrinus (peregrine falcon), 1231 nucleotides. RefSeq lists it as uncharacterized. The record is from RefSeq and is a predicted model, not a curated record. NCBI's taxonomy places the organism in Eukaryota, Metazoa, Chordata, Aves, Falconiformes, Falconidae. The transcript is spliced from 3 exons.
AAUAUUGUUUGCUCUUCCCUUUUUGACUGGAUAAAAAAAAAAAAAAAAAAAGUUGUCAGAUCCAGGACUAAUGGUACAUCCAAGAAGAAUGGGAGAAAGACAUACUUUCAAAAAUAGCGUUGCAUGGAUGUUUUGCCUUAUCCCUGCCUGCAUGCUGAUGAGUUAAUAUGUUAUUUAUACAACUGAAUACCUUCAGGAAAAAAAUUAUUUUCUGCAGUUGACAGGACAUCUACUGAAACACUGAGAGGUGCACAAGAUCUGAUAAUUCAUUUAUUCUGAUGGUUCAGAUCAAUUAAUGACUUGGAUAAGAGACUACUGGUCAUGGAAGAAAGCCAGAGCUUGGGUCUGAGAAUCUUCUAAGCAAAAGGCCUGCCCCUGGCUCCCAAAGCCAUGUGUAAGGCACGACAAUUCAGGGUGACCUAGAGAGCCAGAAGCAACCUUACUCUGGGCACCCACCGGACCCACUGCAGGACAACUCUUCCCUGCAGGACAACUCUUCCCUGCAGGACAGGCUCUGAGCCAUGCAUGUCAAAGAAGUUCACAUUCCCCUAAAACAGUGCAGAGUCCAGAUCUGAAGGUAAGCAUUGCAUCUGUGCAAGACUAAGUGGGAAGCGAGCUCCUGAGCGUGGACAUCAGCCUUCCUCCCUGCAGUGCCUGGACACCUGCACCUUCCUCCUAAGGAAGCUGGGGGACAAUUGACCUGAAAAGAAUCCCUGGUGUAUGAAACAAGUGUUUAACAGGAAGACAGGCAUAGAGCAAGCGCUGGAGAGGCUGGGAAGCAGAGGAGCUAUCAUCAAUCACCCACCCUCAUCUCUCAUAUGUCAAGAAUCUUUGGUACCAGACCCAAAAUAUUCUGAAAGGAGGAGUUUGGAAGUCUUCUGCUCCAGGAACCUGCAUCCCAAGCCUGCUGCCUCACACGGACUUCAUGCACAUACAAGUUUUCAUUGAAGGCAAGUAAAACAAAUACCCACAGGAAAAUUGUUGUGUUCCCGUUAAGCUGUAGUACUGUCCAGAGUAAAAACUAUCAUUCAUUACAAUGCUUGUAUCACCCCAGAAAGCAAAGAGAACCACAUGGCAGCUGGCAUGUGAAGUCAGUGCUAUGUGCAUGGCCUAGUGGAAGUGCAGAAAUGCACACAUAAUGCAAAGGUGGAUGGAUAGACAAAUACACAGACUUAUUUUCCAUGUGUCUGAGAUUUGUUUUAAGACUGUGGUGUUCAUUUGUACUCUUUGC